Molecule: ribosomal RNA, 638 nt
Filed under: Fusarium graminearum
Lineage: Eukaryota; Fungi; Ascomycota; Sordariomycetes; Hypocreales; Nectriaceae
Description: SSU rRNA
Rfam family: Bacterial small subunit ribosomal RNA
Source: RNAcentral
UAUUAGUCAAUGGCCUAACGGCUGAACUGGCAACUUGGAGAAGUGGCAAGUCUUCCAGUAUGGGGAGCAAACAGCUAUGGGUCAAGCCCGAUACCUUUAAGAGAAGUCUUAUUGUGAGGGCGAGUUGUAAAACACCAUAGGGCUGGCCGUCCCAUAUGAAAAGAUUUUAUUAGAAUUGAAUGAAACUUUGUUUAUAUAUUGAUAAUGACAGUAUAUAUAUCGUGUCUUGACUAAUUGCGUGCCAGCAGUCGCGGUAAUACGUAAGAGACUAGUGUUAUUCAUCUUAAUUAGGUUUAAAGGGUACCCAGACGGUCUAUAUAGCUUAUAAAAUGUUAGUAUAAGACUAGAGUUUUAUGUAAGAGGGCAGUACUUGAGGAGGAGAGAUGAAAUUUCGUGAUACCAAAGGGACUCUGUAAAGGCGAAGGCAGCCCUCUAUGUAAAAACUGACGUUGAAGGACGAAGGCACAGAGAACAAACAGGAUUAGAUACCCAAGUAGUCUUUGCAGUAAAUGAUGAAUGCCAUAGGUUAGAUUAUUUCUUAUAAUAAUAUAGUGCAGCAGAAAUUUUUAUCUGGUCUAUAAAUGAAAGUGUAAGCAUUUCACCUCAAGAGUAAUGUGGCAACGCAGGAACUGAAAUCA